AUUGAACGCUGGCGGCAGGCUUAACACAUGCAAGUCGAGCGGAGAUGAGGUGCUUGCACCUUAUCUUAGCGGCGGACGGGUGAGUAAUGCUUAGGAAUCUGCCUAUUAGUGGGGGACAACAUUCCGAAAGGAAUGCUAAUACCGCAUACGUCCUACGGGAGAAAGCAGGGGAUCUUCGGACCUUGCGCUAAUAGAUGAGCCUAAGUCGGAUUAGCUGGUUGGUGGGGUAAAGGCCUACCAAGGCGACGAGCUGUAGCGGGUCUGAGAGGAUGAUCCGCCACACUGGGACUGAGACACGGCCCAGACUCCUACGUGAGGCAGCAGUGGGGAAUAUUGGACAAUGGGGGGAACCCUGAUCCAGCCAUGCCGCGUGUGUGAAGAAGGCCUUAUGGUUGUAAAGCACAUUAAGCGAGGAGGAGGCUACUGAGACUAAUACUCUUGGAUAGUGGACGUUACUCGCAGAAUAAGCACCGGCUAACUCUGUGCCAGCCGCCGCGGUAA
This 501-nucleotide ribosomal RNA is filed under the name uncultured bacterium. RNAcentral's name for it is "partial 16S ribosomal RNA". It matches the Rfam family "Bacterial small subunit ribosomal RNA", at positions 30 to 523 of the family's 1533-position model. The record is from RNAcentral.